GGUUUGUAGUUCAGUGGUAGAGUGCUUGCCUAGCACGUGUGAGGCACUGGGUUAGAUCCUCAGCACCA
RNAcentral lists this transfer RNA (68 nucleotides) under Marmota monax (woodchuck). Its description in RNAcentral is "tRNA.Ala". Lineage: Eukaryota; Metazoa; Chordata; Mammalia; Rodentia; Sciuridae. The record is from RNAcentral.